Molecule: ribosomal RNA, 486 nt
Filed under: uncultured bacterium
Lineage: Bacteria
Description: partial 16S ribosomal RNA
Rfam family: Bacterial small subunit ribosomal RNA
Source: RNAcentral
AUUGAACGCUGGCGGCAUGCCUUACACAUGCAAGUCGAACGGCAGCACGGGUGCUUGCACCUGGUGGCGAGUGGCGAACGGGUGAGUAAUACAUCGGAACAUGUCCUGUAGUGGGGGAUAGCCCGGCGAAAGCCGGAUUAAUACCGCAUACGAUCUACGGAUGAAAGCGGGGGACCUUCGGGCCUCGCGCUAUAGGGUUGGCCGAUGGCUGAUUAGCUAGUUGGUGGGGUAAAGGCCUACCAAGGCGACGAUCAGUAGCUGGUCUGAGAGGACGACCAGCCACACUGGGACUGAGACACGGCCCAGACUCCUACGGGAGGCAGCAGUGGGGAAUUUUGGACAAUGGGCGAAAGCCUGAUCCAACAAUGCCGCGUGUGUGAAGAAGGCCUUCGGGUUGUAAAGCACUUUUGUCCGGAAAGAAAUCCUUGGCCCUAAUACGGUCGGGGGAUGACAGUACCGGAAGAAUAAGCACCGGCUAACUACGUG